Coturnix japonica (Japanese quail) is the source of this 14263-nucleotide non-coding RNA. The record is from RefSeq and is a predicted model, not a curated record. Lineage: Eukaryota; Metazoa; Chordata; Aves; Galliformes; Phasianidae.
UUGCAUUUCUUUGUCGGGUAUUGCUUUUUGAAAAUGUUCAAGAAAUCCUGUGAUCUCAGUUUAAGGAAUAAAAGGACUACUUACGUGUGUGAAACUCCUCCAAACAUCAGUGGUGUAAUAUUUCAAUUUUAAGAAAAACAUCCCUGCUCUGUCCUGUCUUUCUGCCUGAGUAGCACCGAGACCUUGCUUUGGACUUGCUGAACCUUGAAUUGCCACCUCUCUGAUGCUUGCAGUUUCCCCCAGUGGCAUAGUGCCAGAUUUCCCCAGAUGAACAUGCACCUUGGCAAUAAACCUGCCUUGUUCAGGAAACCUGGGAAACCUGCUUGGAAGUGACACUCUCUGAAUGGAGCUGUGUCUCAUGAACCUGAAGUCUGAGCUGCCUAACAGAGAACAGGAUGACCGCGCACAGUGCUCAGGGAGAAGAAGUGGAAGUGCAUGGAGAAUCCAGGGAAGGGCUUCAGAGGGGUCUUUUGCUCAUCCUGACUGAAAUAAAAGAAAAAUGAUGCUGUGUGAGUAAAUAAGCCAAGUGUGGCCUGUGUUUGCAGCCACCCCUUCAUUUAAUGAGCAAGCUCAGGAAACAGAACAUCCUGAGGGUAGGCAGGAGGCAGUGCAGGGGACAGUGUGAGAUGGGAGGGAGGAAGGAUGACCUGAUUUUUGUUCCAAACUACAUCUCUUUUACUAGCUGUACUUACAUUGAUAGAAUAGCAACUGUUGGGCUGAGAUUUUUAUUGUUGUUUUCUGAGUUACCUGAAUUUCCAAGAGGUGUUGUGUUCUAUCUUUUUUUUCCUUCUUAAGACGACCUUCUUCCGCGAGCUUAUUUUAGACCUAGUUGAAUGUCCCAGAGAAAAUUCCAAAUGGUCCUUAAUACACGAACUGUUUCCAGAAAGGAGAAAUUCUCAGUGGACUAUGAAACUAUUUUUCAAUCAUGGUGUAUGGCUCACAAACCACAGCUGAGUUGUAUUUUUUCUUUUUCUUUUUCAGUAGGAAACUAUUGCCCAGUGAGUUAAAAGAAAAUAAAGGAUAAUGGAAUUUUUCCGUAAGGCUGGAGCCGUUCACAGGGGUUUCCUCCCCACUAGAUGUCACUGGAACUGUUUGAAAUGUUUGGAACAAACAGCCCCAAACUGCCCAGGUUCAGAGGUUUGUUAUAAACAUGAGACUUGGAGCAGGUUUCUUUAGAGCUGUGCUCUGGUUCGUGUGCUUUUCUCAGGCAUUGGACUGGGAGAUAGGCAGCCACAGGAAGUUCAGGAUUUGGGGACAAGGUAGGUGAAACUCAUGAAGUUUGGCAUUAUUCCUUGGGCAAGCCAAGUGGACUCAAAGUCAAUGCUUGGGGCUGCCACCAUCAUCUGGCUGGGAGGUGUUCAGAGGAAGAGUAGGGUCAUGCAGGAUGCAGGUGGGAGCAGCCACCUUUUCUUACAGAAGCCCAUGGCUGGGGCUUGGAUUCUCAUAUAAUAUUCUGUAAAACCAGUGAAAUUCUGACAGCUCACGCAGUUAAAUUCUCCAUGUCUCUCCUCCUCAGGAGUACAGAUCUUAACUCCCGAGGAAAGCAGCUCCUCAGAUUAUUAGGUCUACUAUUUUAAUUCUCCCUGUAGUUUCAAUCGACUACAGGAAUCUUCUUCCAUUCUUAUUCAAAAUUCAGUUUAGUGUGAUUAUGUGGCCAUGCAUCAAAUAUGGCAGUAUAAUAUGUCCUUUCAUCUACUUGCCAUAAUACAUCCCUUUUAGUGCCACAUAAAUCCCUGAAAAUAUUACUGUCUUCUGCUCUUGAGAUUCUUCAUGUGCCUCUUUGCCUUACUGCCUUCCUCUUCUAUUGUUUCUCCAAGCUGAAUUAAUUCCUUUUUUCCCCCCAACCUGGCUGCUAUGCUGUAGCCCUGCUUCCGAGCAGCUGCCAUGAAACAGCAAUGCUUCCAGAGGAGGAGAGAAGCCAGAAAGAGCUGUCCGAGCAGCUUUGACACAGCAGCUUUGACUACUUUCAUUAAUUGGUGCCCCAACAUCACCAAUUCAGCACAUCCCACCUGUAGGCACAGUUGGCUCACACAACGAAUGCACAUCAAAAUAGGGUAUAUUCCCUUACACAACUCGAGUAUUAAGUUGGUAUUAUAUUAAGCCAGCAAAAUUUCAACCCUCUCAAUAAAUUCAAGAAAACGAAUUUCCUCCAGCCCCACAUCCCACCAUCCAGUGGCCCAGAGCACCCAUUUGUACCCUUCCCUCUUGCAGGCCAUUUUGGGGUCUCAUUCCUUCUGCCAAAUGUCCCAGUGAGUGAAGGAGCUUCCCUGCCCCACCACUUCACUUUACAAAAUAGAGAAGUCUCUACAUUAAAAAAGUCCUGACAGAGUACAUUCAGCACAGGACAAUGCAGAGGAAGGUUACAAGUAUAUUAGGAUAAGGGCACCACAAUUAUAUGAAGAAGUCUGGAGAGAAAAGAUUACAUUGUUCUGACAACAACAUUUUUCAAACAUUUAGACCUUUAAUAUCAUUAAUUUAAAGUACAAGAUUAAAUAUUUUAUGCAAAUAUUAGACAACAGCAAAGAGCUCCACAUAUUAGGAUUUAAAACAGAUUGAAUGCAUGCAAGACAUAUUCAUUUCUUAAGCAGUUUAGUUAAAAAAUCGGUAUUGUCUCUAUUAGGAUUAACUGACAGUAACUCUUUGUGUUCAAAUGGAUUUAACUUCACUCUGGUUUGUUUUCCAGAUAUCAUUGUCCUCCAAUAAUUGUGGAUAAAGGGAAAUGUAAGAGGACAGAUCAAGUAAAAAUAUAUCUUCACAUCAUAAACACAGAAUUAUGUUUAAAUUUCAUUACUAAAUGGGAUUUCGGCUUCAUAUACCAUGCCUAAUCCUACACCAUAAAAGAUGUAUAAAACCUCUUGACAAAUUCUAACAGACUUUGUGGAAGUUGCAUAUAUUGAUUAAAACAUCAAGCAGUUACAUACAAACCAAUAAUGAAUUACUUCUUGUUGGAAGAUAAAACUUUGUGAUAUUUAAAAUUACAGACUUGAAAGUAAGUAAAAUUACCCCUAAUUAUGCAGAAGGGAGCAACACCUUAGCAGUAAACAAGAUAAGCACCUCAAACAGCACUAAUAAUUUUAAUUAACAUUUUCUAGUUUCCUUUCACCUCCUUUCAAGGUCAUCUGCUACCUUCUCCUGGUACAACAUUACAGCGCGGUGUAAAAACUUACAUUCCAUUGUUAACUGCUUUGAGUAGCCAAAAAAUAUAACUUUCUGGGAGGGAUUCUUUUAUUUUCUUUAAAAAAUAAGAAAAAAAAAAUUAAAAACUCUUAAUUGUGUGCAAAAGUAAAUAAUGCACUGUGCAAAGCUGCCAGGAAGGUCUCUGCAGUGAGCUGCUGUCAGAAGUCAGACCCCAGCAGCCGGGAUUGGGCCGAGUAUUGGGGCCUGACUGAGCACCAGAGGCAGAAUUCUCCAGGGAGCUCUGCCUGCGAGCAGAAACCCAUUCAUGUUUCACGUGUGAAUUUAAAAAGGUGGGCUAUGUUCAGAGUGGGGGAGGUAUUUGGAUUAUGGAGUUCAAAAGAAAUUGAACAGUGAGCACCGAAAAUGAAUAUUUGGCAUAACAUGAUAGUCCGUGCAGUUCUUGAGUUACUUCUACUUGCAAAGUAAUUAGUAAAUGAGUGCUCUGAAGAUGACUUUGUUAAACUACUUCUUUCCUUCCUAAAAAAUCCAAAAGUUGGUAAGAAAUGGGCUUUGUUAUAUCAGUGGGUUUGUUCCAUGCCACAAAUUUAAUGUAUGAGGUCACUCGGAAUAUAAUGUGUAGUGAAAGAAUCUCAUUAGGCUAAAAUGAAUGUAAAAUGUGUCAAUUUGAUCCAAAUGAGAACUGUAGUAAAACCAUGUUUGAUGUUCAUGUGCAAUAAAUCUUUAACAUUUGUCUGUAAAGUAUUAGAGAACCCAUAGGGAAAUCUCUAUUUGUGAUAGCUGCACAUUUUCAAUGAUUUUUCCUAUAAUCCUUUGUUGACAUUUAGCAUGUGGCAACGGAAAGGAAGGUCCUAAAAUGAGAAUUAUUAAUUAUUAUUAUUCCAAGGUAAACAAGGUGGACACCUUGCCUGUGGCUGCCAGGGUUUGAGGAAAGGCAGCAAUUCUGAAUCCACUCUGUUGACUGAAAGUGGCCAUUUCUGGGGGAAGAAGUCAGAAACCACCACUGCCCUACCUGGGGUGAUGGGCUCCGGUGACAACAUCCCCCUGGCUGGGUAUAUUUUGAUGUAUUCAUAUUGUUAAUUACUGUUGUAUUUCAAUUUUCUCUCCGUAUUUUUUGUUCGUUCAUAAUGGCUUUAUGGUUCAGCGGACCGAAAUGACUAAAAUGAAAGAUUUCUGAGAUUUCUUCUGGGAGUAAUUUACAAAAGACCACAAUUUUUUAAUUGCUCCUGAUGUUUAGUUCUGGAUAUCUGGAAGGAGAGAAAUCAGCCCAAGUCUUUUAGUUGCCACCCCAACCGUAUCAGAGACAGCGAUUUGAUCUCUGUCGAUGGCUUUGCUUCCUGUGGCCCACCACCCGUAUUUUGAGAACUGGCUUAUAGCAAUGCCACGGUGUUUAGAUUUCUGCAGCUCACACUUGCUUUCGCAAGAGAAUCACAAACUAUUCACAUCCUUUGAGGAGGCUCAGGAAAUAAUGGGUGAAAUGUCAGAAACAAUUAAGAAAAAUGGAGGCAUUUCAUUUAACCAGUAGAAGAAAUACAUAACUUUUGCUGAAUGGCUGAACUCGAAGUGCCACAAGAUUGCUACAAUAUGAGCUCUGGCUCCUGAUUAUCAUGAAGUUGUAUUAAAAAAAACAACCUUACAACACUCACAUGCCAAAGGUUGCAACACAGUCUUUGGCAGGAAACACGAAAAUGCUCCAGCAUGGGAAAAGUCUUCAAGCAAACUUGCAUCUGUGCUGAUUUACGUUUUUACAGCGAGCAACGGCAGCUUUCUGAAGGCAGCGAGCAGUUUUAGAGCAUGGUGACACAGCCGUGCCCCACAAACACUUAUCCCCCAGCCAUACCAGCCCCUGCUUGUUUGCCCAUCUCAUUGCUGCCAUGCAGGGCCGUUAUCAAUAAAUGCGGUGUUCUUGGCCGAGUUUUCUUUGGCUUGCAGUCUGCUUUACAAAACCACUGCAUACUUGACAGUUUGCCCUAGUUCAAAAUUCUUUGGUCAGAAAAAGCCCGGAGAAUGAAACAGUAUCUGGUGUUGUAAAAUCUUGACCAGAUUCUGAAAUACUGCCUAAGCCCCUGUCAGCUCGAAGGUGAUUUCUCCAGGUCAUGGUUUGGGGGAAUUGAUGGCACAGUGUGCAGCCCAUGACUUCUCCGUCUGCACUACAUCUUUGUCAGGAGGGUGCAGGCUCACCUUUAGCACUCGUUGCUACCCCAGCCCCGAAGGUCUUGACAGUACAUUUACUUUCCUACACAGCUUACAAGCUAAGCAUAGGAAAAUGAACCAAGAAACAGCUUGUCUACCUGCUGCGUUUUCAUUUCUCUAUUUUUGUCUGAGGGUUUAUCAAUUACCCAAGAAACCAGAAGUGCCACCUGAAGCUGAAGAAGAGAUGAUAACACCUGGUGCUUGCAUUGAACUGCUCUCUUCAACACUCCCAGUACUUUUCUGACGGUGCAAGUCCAUUUUCCAUCUUCUACAAUUGGAGACACUGAGGCAGAGGCAAAAGAAAUCAUAUACAAGAGGUCAGAAAUCCAAAGCAGGGAGGAGAGCCCUGGGCCAGACCAACUCGAAGACGCUGCAUCAGCACGGCAGGUCAAGUGAACACUGAACCUGCAGCAAGCACAGAGCUUGCUGCAUCCUUGGACUCCCUCCUUUCCAGAAAAUUAAGUGAGGACACUCAGAAAGUAGAGAAAGAAAAGGAGACGUCGACUGUACCCCCAUCCUACACAUCAUAGUGAUUUAUACUAAAAUUAAUGGCACUCAGCUGCUCGCCAACUCCGUUCCCACAGCAGCAGGAAUGUCGCACACUGUCUGAUUACAACUGCAAGUCUUAAAUUUGCAUCUAUCAUAAAGGUAUGACUUAUGGAAAAGUUCAGUGACUGAAAUGUAUUCUUCAUGGGCCAUCUUCACCAGCAAAAUAGAGCAGCUGCCUGAACGAGAAAACCUGCACUCCUGAAAGCAGCACAUCUUUUGCAGUAAGAGAAUGCUGAAUAGCUGCAAGCAAACACCAGACACCGGGCAGUCCCUCCUGCAGCACCUGAGACUAUUUGACACUACUGCAAAGGAGGUGACGUGGUCUGAUUGACGGCCGUGUUCAUUUUUGCAAGAAAAAGAGGAAAAAGCCACUGAAGGCAACCUCCAUCAGCUGAACGAGCUAUCAGCUGACACAUCAUCCAUCCUACAGCAGCUCAAGGCAAUACCCACAAUAGUUCAGCGUUGCAAGCAGCCUGUCAGCAAGCAGAAUUCUUGCUGUGCUUUACAGCAUGGAUACGAACUCACCUAGCAUGCCUCAGCAUGCAUUCAUGCUGGCAGUGUAGAUCCUUCCACCAUAAAAGUCAACUGUGCCACCGGAGCAGCCCUGACUUCAACCAGUCUAUAUGAAGGGGGAAAAGUCAUGCGUGUGGUUUACGGCUUUGUUUUCUCAACCUUUUGCAGUGGUGUGGUUGUUCUGUGUCUAACCACAGUCCCCUGAUCUAAGAUGAGCUGUAUGACGAAGUCUAACUUAAGAUUUUUUCCUCUUGGCCUCUCACUUCCUUUCGGGUUGAUCAGUGAACCCAGUGUGUGUCCCCUUGCUAGUGUGAGCCAACACCAAAUGAAGUCCAUGGAAAGAUUCCCUUUGUGUCCAUGGGUUCUCUGUUAGACUCAUCCUAAUUUACAACAAAUAUAAUAACAUUUAGCUUUAGUGGUUAGCUUACAACAUCUAUGGCGAUCUCACAGCAUUUGAAGGACAAGGCCAGCAAAUCCAAGAAUUUCACUCUAGGCGACCCUACUUGUGUGGAGCUAGAAAACGUAUCAUAGGAAAAAGUUUCACAACUAAAGAGAAGCCUACAUAGUUUGGUUUGUUGAUUGUCUCACAAAAGAAAACAAAAUAACUCCUUAGCAAACCUCAUUAGAAGCCCAUGUUUUUUCCUAUGGGAAAAUAAGAUUGUUCCGUGAAACUGUGGGGAAAAAUUGAGCUGACAGCCCAAGAUUAAAUUCGCUUUUCUAAUUCUGAAAUGGAGACAAGUUUAACUAUUCUGGCUUGGCUCAGAUGGUUUGGGCUGUGGGCUAAGUCCAUGGCAGACGUGAAUGUGACUCCGCGUCUGGCCUGCAAGGGUGACCACAGGGUCCCUCUUUCCCAGGCUUGGGCAAAAUGAACAUUGCUCCAAGCAGUGACCAGCCCCAAAAGCAGCUUUUUGUCAUCACAAACUGUGAAGUGGCUGAUAAACCCACAUGGAAGAGCGCUCAGCCAAACCUUUAUCAGGUAAAUGACUAUGGGAGGCAGAUGACUUCUCACCCCAUUUUUUAAUAUAUUUUUUUUGAAGAACACUGAAAUGUGCACUCAUCAGUGAUGACUUUUAAAGGAAAUAAUAACAAUACCUUUCUGACCUCAUGUUUUCUAUUGGAGGAGGAAAACCCCCCUGAAAAUUCUUGCUGAAGAGGCCACAGCUCCAGGACCUGGAGCCUGAGGGACAUCCUGGGGGCUCCUGGUGGAGGCAUCUCCCAUCAGAAGGGCCAUGGAGAUGGCAUGGGCAGGGUGAAGCAUAUCCUUGCCCAACCACAUAAGUUAUCUCAUGGCAAACAGUCUCAGCCCUUUCCCUCCCCUCUAGCUAGCACUGGCCUGCACAGUGGGCAUUUGCAUACUUUUAAGCUAUUUUUAAUUAGAUCUUGAAAAUUCUUCAAUUUAGUCAUACCUUUCCACCCUUGGCUCUCACUGACUAUAGCCACUUGUGACAGUCUUAGCCACUUACUUUCAUUCUUAGCAUAGACAUGAAAUCAGAUUUCUGUGUUCUUUGGAUGAGUUAUUAGGCUUACAAUUAGCAAAGCGAACAACGUCAGACUGUGUAAAAGUUACAAGUGUGAAAUCGAGUUCUGCCAGUAAAUUGCUACCUUUUCUUUAGCAUUGCAAGCCACGCUCUCCAGUUUAUUUGAACACAUAAAAUAUGCUAAAUGUUUAGCAGCACCACUGUGUAAAGAAGAGUUGGAUGAAGUAUAUAUUUUUAAAUACAGUGAGUAAUAAAAUGUUGAGUAAAUUCCCAAGAAUAUAAUUUUGGGGCAAGUACAAUAGAAUGCUUAAUGGCAUAUAUUCCCAGGUCUGCUGUUUUUAUUCCUCCUUUUCUCCUGCUUUAAUCUCCUCACCCAGCCAGUGGUUGUUGUUAUGGGAGCUGCUAGAAAGAGCUUCAUCCAUAGACACUUCCAGCACUGAGAGAAUGAGACGAGGAGCACCAGGCAUUUGCAGUCAGUACUUUGCUUUGCAGCAGUGCACUGGGCACUGCCCUGCACACAUCCCUGCCUGUGUGAGACGACAGUGAACUGCUUGGCACACACUUGCGUAGUGGCUCGUAAGGACCACAGGAAACAAGGAAAAAGAGCGAAUGGGAGGAGGGAUAAAGACAAACAAGCCUCCUUCACAAAUUCAUUUUCUCCAAAUUUAUUUCCUUUUCAUUUAACUCGGUUGAGAAAUGUCCCCCUGGACUUCAUCAGAAAAUCAAUCUCCCCAUUUAAAGUUUUAAACGCAGUUCUAAGCAGCUCGGCUUGAUAUGCAAAGAGGCAUGAGAAAUCCAAACCCUCAUCAAACAGUCUGCACGUUGUUCGGAGCUGCCACUGCAGGUGGAGCCAGCAUUGCUUCUCUCCAUAUCAAACUCUGUGGGCUGAAUAGAGAUGAUGCUGCCCAGUACCUGUGACAACUCCUGUAUCUGGGCUUCCAUAUGCAUAAACUCUCCACAUUUCGGAUGUUCCCCUUCACAGAACAGCUUAAUAUUUCAAAAGACCUUUUAAAUUUCUUAGCACAAAUCACUUUUUACCCUUUGCCUCGCAGUUAUGCGCCAGGUAGCGCAGUGAGCCCAUAUACCCACUGUUUAGCUGGUUUUAUACUGCUGGUUUGCCGAUAACUGUCUGUACUUUGUUUCAAUAUCCAAAACUGUCUGCUGUAUGGUAGCUCUGAGAUCAUGUUCCCAAUUGCUCUCAGUUCCUGCUGCCUUUCUGGGCCAUCUAUCCCAGAAAUGGGAAUCUUUAUUCCAUAGGAUCAUAAGAGGGUAAAUAUACAAAUUCUAGGAGAUACAUUCAAAAGAAAACCAAACAGAUUCUGAUGUUACAGUUCUCACAUUUAGCCUGUAUUUUCUACAGUGUUACUUUUUAGUUGUUUUAAAAGUUGUACUAACUGUAAUCUAGGGAGACAUUACCUUCACUUUGAAGCAUCAACCAAAUACCAUUAUAUAAAUGCUGCAGAUUAGUUAUCUUUAAUUGUAUAUAUAUAUACAAAAAAUAAUAACAACUGGAUAGUAACGAGCAAUAUAUUCUCUACUCUGUCUCUGAGUUAUCAGUUGAUAGAAGACAGUGUUACCAGUACAAUAGAUGUUCAAACUGCAAAUAUUUGGCACCAGGCAAAAAGUCUCUGGAGGGGUGGAACAACAUUCACUGCAAUUUGCUGGAUCAGCCCACCUUUUAGUAUGUCUGGGAGCUGAAUUUUACCCACAUGCACAUGUGGAUCACCCAGUAAUUCCCAUAGGCUGGAAGGCUGCCCUUCUAGAGAGAGAAAUCUCAGCAUCUCUAAUGAGAGGCCAAUUCCCAUGUCCUGCGGCAUCUCCAAAUGAUACUUGGCAGAGAUCUGCCUUUAUGGGAGUUGUACUGAUGGAGUUUUCUCUCCAAGCAGAGCAGCACUGACAAUAUGCAGGGGAUGAAUUUCUCUUCUAAUACAUUUUCCUUUCAGGAGCGAAGACAGUUUUGGCCAGCCAACCAACUACUUUGUCUGCGAGUGAAAAACCUGAAAGUUGUACUUUCUUUCCGUCUUCUGCAACCACCUUCUACAUGACUGCCAAUAUCAUGACUGCCAAUAUCAGUGGAAGCUAACAAUGCACCAUUUAAAGCAUAGAGAGGGGGAAUAAAAUCAGUCUUUUACCAUUUAUUUAUUUAUUUGUUUAAGGAAAAAAGAAGUCGCCACAUCAUAAAGGAAUGAUAGAACUGCCCAUAGUAACAAUGGUAUGAAGUGCUAAUUAUUUCAGGCAGUCCCUUCAGCAAACAGUGACAGCCCCAGGGUGGGUCCCCUGGUUGGAACUCACACUCCUUCCAGCAACAGAUUUCCUUAGUGAGCAUCAGAUCAGGUCCUUAAGGACCUCCCAAGCCACUGUCCUGCAUAUAAACACACAAUAGCACUGCUGGAAGAACACAAGAAAUAGAUAAAUAAAUCAGAACUCAGAAUAUAUGCAGAUUUACAGGCAUUAGAGGGAUUCAUUCUGUGUGUGAAUAAGGCCAAAGUGCAGCUGUAAAUAUGAGUAAGUUAUUUGGUUUUUUGCAAUCACAUUGACUUUAGAUCUUAGCUCAUCUAAUGGCAAUUCCUAACACCAACAAUGAACAGCAACAAAAAAUAAUCUAAAGAAUCAUGGCUACUCAAAUAGAACAAUGCAGAGUAAUCACUUUUUUAAUACAAAUUAAAAAGCCCUCUGUGUUAACAGUCUGCGUUGUUCAAUUUGCACAGAGAAAUGCUUAUCCUUCUAUAUUUAUUCAACAGGAUCCACAAAAAUUGAAGAUAAUUUGGGAAGACUCUCCUUAUAGUAACUAAAACCACUGAAUUUAAAUUCCAAAUCUUGUGAGACCAUUUCCUGAGUUUCCAAUGAAAAAGCUUUCUAUACACAAAGAGAAAUAAAAUCAUUAAAAUGUUAAUACAACCUAUACAAUCAAACAGGAGACCUCUCGGAGACUGGGUCAAAACCCAGCCAUAUAAAAGAGCCUUUCUUACAACAAACUCCCAGAGAUUUUCAUAAUUUUCCUUUUCAAAUGUCAGUAUAAUCUUUUGGUUUGGUUGAGUUAAAUCUAGAGCAAUUCUACAUAAUGAAAGGAAAGAAUGAACAUAAACAUGUUUCAAUAUGACUUCAGGAUUCCCGAUUUCUGUUUCCUUAAUAAGAAUAUUUUUUUUCCUCAUGGCAUGGGUUUGCAUUCUUAAAGACCAUGCUAUGAAACAAUGAGAAUCUGAGGAGAGCAGGGGAAUGAGAGUGGCUAUUCUAGAAAUUUCACUUAAUUAAAGAGACACAUAAAGAGGAACCCAUCUAUUUAAUGCUAUGAGCCAAAUACCCAAAUAGAUUACCCAGGUCAAAAGGUAAGAAAGAAAAAUAGAGUUACUGCCAUAUGUGAAGAGCAGAGAGCCUCCUUUCACAUCACUGCUUUCUUAAUGGGCACCAGUAUUUUCCAAUAGAGCAUGCUACCUAAGGAACUGGAAUCUCUGCGUUCACCAAACAGAGCACAUUUAAUGCACACUUAUAUGACAUACAGUGAAUCAAAUGAUGGAUCUAUGAGAAAUACAUAUAGGCAGCUUCGAACAACUAUGGUUUCCCAUGUCAAAAAGCCUAAUUAAACAGAUAUGCUUGAACUGUGAAUGAGUUCCCCACAACUGGGACUCCCAUGUCCCCAUGGGGUUUCAUGGCUGUGGGAAGGACCUCCAACCUACACUGCACCCUACAGGGUGGGAGUGCAGCACCUGCAGUGUGCGGCCAUGAAGAGCAGGGCAAUUAGCCCAGCAAGGACUGCAAAUAGCUACAAGUGGGCACUGGGAGCUUAAAGCUGGCCCAGCCCUAUGCCUGGCCUCCUGCUUCCUCUGGAGCCAUUGAGCUGAUGCUCAAAUGCAUUUGCCCUUCCUUUUCAUGGCUGGUAACCCUGGUAGGUUACAUGGCUCUGUGGCAUGUUUCCUCUGAAACAACUCAGGCUCUCUUCUUACACACUGUUUGGUUUGGAUUUGGCCCAUUCUCCAAUUCUCAGAUAAAAUGAGAACAUAAUUCACAUAUUAGCAUUUCAAAACCUGUACAGCUGCAGAAUGAGUAAACAGAGGAGUGAGUAAUCAUUACUAAUCUGAACCGGAGAAAGAGAGAAAAAAAAAGCAUAUCAUUUUGUGGUGUGCUAAACCCCCCAAAAAUAUGUUUGCACUUCUUAAAACAUCUCAAAUUUUCUCUCUUUUUUUUUAAUCCGUGAUUUGGAGAUGACAGAGAAAAAUCUUUGAGCUGAACUGAUCUCAAAUACAUUAAUAUCCUUUUUGGUAUAAAUUUGUUUGGGGAAACUUGAAACUGUAGAAUAACCUAUUGAUUACAUUAUUUGAAUUAAGUUUUAGAAAUCCUACAGCUGUUUGCUGUCAAAAUUUAAACCUACUGUCUAUUUUCAGCUGUGCACUUAAUACACGUUUCACCUGGUGACUCAAUAACAUUUUAAUAUAAAAGUACAUGAUUGCGGAACAUAUGUUCAGUGUUCAUACGAAGCUUAAUAGCAGCAGAAGGGGUAACAAUUAACAGUUCUGUUUUUCUGGGUAUGUGGAGCCCAAUUGUAAAGUUUUUCCUGGGCUCCUUCCAACAAAUCUUUGUUCCUGGUGCUUUGACCUUUGAGGAGUUUGGAAUCAAUGAGGCACGUUGCCUUCCAUAAGGGUGUCAAGUGCAGAAUAAAAAACUGCAUCACAUCAUUUUUCACCACGGCCAGAUGAGGUCUGAGUGCAGGAGCAAGGAACAGGAAAGCAAGAACAUCUGAAAAAUUGACUCUGCAAGCUGGAAUGCGAUUCUGCAAUAAGGGGCAACUCUCCUUUAUAUUUUUCCCUCUUGCUCUCUUUUUUUCCUGCCAGAGCAAGCAGGUUGUAGACAGAUCUGGGUCUCAGCCUCCCACCCCCGGGGCCCCCACGUCAAGGAACAGUGAUAGAGCGCCGUUCAUUUAUGCAACAUCUGUAACACAUAGAGCAACGUAUUAAUAGCUCAAUAUGCCAAUCUGCCACUGUGCAUUUUGACCUAGCAGGGACCAGAAGCAUGGAAGGUCUGUAAGGCAGAUGUGGGAAUGGCAGUGGCGAUGGAAAUUAAAGGCAGACACAAAGAGUUGGUGCACAGAGCACUGCGGAGCAGUAGUUCUUCUGGAAGAGGCAAAUGCUUCCAGCUCAGUUAGGAGGUUAAUAGAGCUAAUCUUCUGUAUCACUAUUAUUUAUAACAUGUUGUUGGACUUAAUGUUUAUGAAGCUCAAGCUGUAUAGUGCACAUCCAAUUAUGUUUUCUUACAGCCAUGGAGGGUUUUAUGAAAAGGAAUAUUGAGUGAAUGCUUUAUUGCUUAAAAAUAUUGUAUUGGUUAGAAGGGAAGUUAAUCCAGUAGGAAGUAAAAACAGCAACAAAGGCUACAGCAAAUAUGAGAUGCUUUAAAUUCAUUGCAUGACAUUCUCACCCUAAUUAUUAGCCAACACUGGGAAUAAAAACAGCACCCUCAUCUUCAAGUUAUUAUUUUUUUUCCUUUCCUCAUUUUUAUUGCACAUUUACAUAAGACUUGUAUGCCUUGUACUUCUUCCAGCUUAUAACGUUUCUAUUAACCCUUUGCUUUUUUUUUUUUUCCUCACUAUAGCUGCUCAAGAAGACUAAUUGGCACCGGAGAAGGCAGGUGGCAAUGGAGUGGGCUGGGGGAAGUGGCCAGGUCGUGAUGGGCGCAGAGGUGGCUGAGCUUGAAUGAGAGCCCAGUGGUUCAGAAGGUUAUCCAGCCCCAGUCUCAGAGUCUCUGUGGUCUGGAAAGCUGGAAUAGAAAAAUCUUCCAGGAAUAACUUCAUUUUUGUGUGUGAUUUUUAGUAUUUCCUGUUUCUAAUUGGACCGGAAAUAUUUCAAGAGCAAAUAUUUCUCAUGGUGUGAUGGAACCUACCUCACACCUGGCAACACAAAUGUCCGGCGGUGGCUUGAAUUAGAGAAAAAAAACCCUUUGAUAAAUGCCCUGACUCUCAUGAAAGGCCAUUGUUUUUACAGUUCGGGAGAGGAGAAAGAAUGAAGUGGGAUUUUGUGGUUUGUACUUUGUCCUUAAUAUAAGGAGAGCUAACAAAAGUAUGACUGAAGGAAAAAGAGAGAAGGAAGGAAGAUUAGUCAGUUAAUAAAGGAGAUUUAUGCUAGUGACGGUAGGUAGGCAAAUUGCACUGCUAAAUGGGGUAUGGACUUCUUUUAUGUGGACAAGAGAAUUUAUCAACUUUAUUUAACUGAAACUGCACCAUAAUCAUGUCUCCAGAGCCUGGGCUGAUGGAGACACCCAUCCCAUGAUGAAACUGGCCCAGAGGCUUCCAUCCUGGCAGGAGAUCCCUGGGGCAUAAAUGUGGGCUGGUGAGGAACUGUGUAUGUUUCCAACAAGCUUUUUUGUAUUGCAAGAUGGGUGAAAGUAAAAUCUGUUGCAGUUUUGAUCAA